CCUACGGGAGGCUGCAGUUAGGAAUAUUGGGCAAUGGAGGAAACUCUGACCCAGCAACGCCGCGUGAAGGAAGAAGGUUUUCGGAUUGUAAACUUCUGAUCUGUGGGACGAAGAAAGUGACGGUACCACAGGAGAACGCCACGGCUAACUCCGUGCCAGCAGCCGCGGUAAUACGGAGGAUUCAAGCGUUAUCCGGAUUUAUUGGGUUUAAAGGGUGCGGAGGCGGUCGGAUAAGUUAGAGGUGAAAUCCCGAGGCUCAACUUCGGAAUUGCCUCUGAUACUGUUCGGCUAGAGAGUAGUUGCGGUAGGCGGAAUGUAUGGUGUAGCGGUGAAAUGCUUAGAGAUCAUACAGAACACCGAUUGCGAAGGCAGCUUACCAAGCUACUUCUGACGUUGAGGCACGAAAGCGUGGGGAGCAAACAGGAUUAGAUACCCCAGUAGUC
Molecule: ribosomal RNA, 443 nt
Filed under: uncultured bacterium
Lineage: Bacteria
Description: partial 16S ribosomal RNA
Rfam family: Bacterial small subunit ribosomal RNA
Source: RNAcentral